GAUGAACGCUGGCGGCGUGCCUAAUACAUGCAAGUCGAGCGAACGGACGAGAAGCUUGCUUUUCUGAUGUUAGCGGCGGACGGGUGAGUAACACGUGGAUAACCUACCUAUAAGACUGGGAUAACUUCGGGAAACCGGAGCUAAUACCGGAUAAUAUUUUGAACCGCAUGGUUCAAAAGUGAAAGACGGUCUUGCUGUCACUUAUAGAUGGAUCCGCGCUGCAUUAGCUAGUUGGUAAGGUAACGGCUUACCAAGGCAACGAUGCAUAGCCGACCUGAGAGGGUGAUCGACCACACUGGAACUGAGACACGGUCCAGACUCCUACGGGAGGAAGCAGUAGGGAAUCUUCCGCAAAGGGCGAAAGCCUGACGGAGCAACGCCGCGUGAGUGAUGAAGGUCUUCGGAUCGUAAAACUCUGUUAUUAGGGAAGAACAUAUGUGUAAGUAACUGUGCACAUCUUGACGGUACCUAAUCAGAAAGCCACGGCUAACUACGUG
RNAcentral lists this ribosomal RNA (497 nucleotides) under uncultured bacterium. RNAcentral's name for it is "partial 16S ribosomal RNA". It matches the Rfam family "Bacterial small subunit ribosomal RNA", at positions 28 to 507 of the family's 1533-position model. The record is from RNAcentral.